Molecule: ribosomal RNA, 443 nt
Filed under: uncultured bacterium
Lineage: Bacteria
Description: partial 16S ribosomal RNA
Rfam family: Bacterial small subunit ribosomal RNA
Source: RNAcentral
CCUACGGGGGGCAGCAGUGGGGAAUAUUGGGCAAUGGGCGCAAGCCUGACCCAGCAACGCCGCGUGAAGGAAGAAGGCUUUCGGGUUGUAAACUUCUUUUGUCAGGGACGCAGCAAGUGACGGUACCUGACGAAUAAGCCACGGCUAACUACGUGCCAGCAGCCGCGGUAAUACGGAGGUGGCAAGCGUAAUCCGGAUUUACUGGGUGUAAAGGGGGUGUAGGCGGGGAAGCAAGUCAGAUGUGAAAACCGCGGGCUCAACCUGUGGACUGCAUGUGAAACUGUUUGUCUUGAGUGCUGGAGAGGCAAUCGGAAUUCCGUGUGUAGCGGUGAAAUGCGUAGAUAUACGGAGGAACACCAGUGGCGAAGGCGGAUUGCUGGACAGUAACUGACGCUGAGGCGCGAAAGCGUGGGGAGCGAACAGGAUUAGAUACCCGUGUAGUC